RNAcentral lists this ribosomal RNA (524 nucleotides) under Bacillus atrophaeus. RNAcentral describes it as "bacterial SSU rRNA". It matches the Rfam family "Bacterial small subunit ribosomal RNA", at positions 100 to 611 of the family's 1533-position model. The record is from RNAcentral. Lineage: Bacteria; Bacillati; Bacillota; Bacilli; Caryophanales; Bacillaceae.
GACGGGUGAGUAACACGUGGGUAACCUGCCUGUUUGACUGGGAUAACUCCUGGAAACCGGGGCUAAUACCGGAUGGUUGUUUGAACCGCAAGGUUCAAACUUUGAGGUGGCUUCUGCUACCACUUACGAAUGGACCCGCGGCGCAUUACCUAGUUGGUGAGGUAACGGCUCACCAAGGCAACAAUCCGUACCCAACCUGAAAGGGUGAUCGGCCACUCUGGGACUGAAACACGGCCCAAACUCCUACGGGAGGCAGCAUUAGGGAAUCUUCCGCAAUGGACAAAAGUCUGACGGAGCAACGCCCCGUGAGUGAUGAAGGUUUUCGGAUCGUAAAGCUCUUUUGUUAGGGAAAAACAAGUGCCGUUCAAAUAGGGCGGCACCUUGACGGUACCUAACCAAAAGGCCACGGCUAACUACGUGCCAGCAGCCGCGGUAAUACGUAGGUGGCAAGCGUUGUCCGGAAUUAUUGGGCGUAAAGGGCUCGCAGGCGGUUUCUUAAGUCUGAUGUGAAAGCCCCCGGCUCA